AUUGUUCGAGAACACCGGCAAAGCACGUGCCAGCAGCCGCGGUAAAACGUGCGGUGUCAGUAUAAAGCGUCUUGACUAGGCAGGCAGCGUGUCUGAGCGUAGUGGUGAACACUUUAAGUGUGGAGUAAUACCUGGAGGAUCGGUCAAAUGAGAAUAUGCCAGGUGGAAAGCCAAGGGCGUAGGCAUCCACACAGGGGUCACUGAAGCUUCAACACGAAGGCUUGGGUAGCGAACCGGAUUAGAGACCCGCAGUAGUCCUUGCAGUCAACAAAUUAUUGCCAUAACAAUAACGCCUGGUGAUACGGCGGCAACGCUAUAAAUCAAAGCAAUUGGCAGCGAUAGAGAUGCGCGGUGGAAUAUGCUGUUUAAAUCGAAGAUACACGCAGAAUCUUACCACUUUUUAAUA
This 406-nucleotide ribosomal RNA is filed under the name Edaphochlamys debaryana. RNAcentral's name for it is "SSU rRNA". It matches the Rfam family "Bacterial small subunit ribosomal RNA", at positions 477 to 986 of the family's 1533-position model. The record is from RNAcentral. Lineage: Eukaryota; Viridiplantae; Chlorophyta; Chlorophyceae; Chlamydomonadales.